Molecule: non-coding RNA, 218 nt
Filed under: Streptomyces uncialis
Lineage: Bacteria; Bacillati; Actinomycetota; Actinomycetes; Kitasatosporales; Streptomycetaceae
Description: SAM-I sequence
Rfam family: SAM riboswitch aptamer (S box leader)
About the family: The SAM riboswitch is found upstream of a number of genes which code for proteins involved in methionine or cysteine biosynthesis in Gram-positive bacteria. The SAM riboswitch acts at the level of transcription termination control.
Source: Rfam by way of RNAcentral
CGCUCAUCCAGAGGGGCAGAGGGAUACGGCCCGUUGAAGCCCCGGCAACCCUCCAGCCGGUUCUCGUAACCGUCAGUGAUCCGCCGACGCAGCACCACGUCAUCCGUUAUGACGUCACGCGUCGACGUACCGGACACUGCGCGAUGUCGCGAGGCUCCCCGGCUCGGGAAGGUGCCAAUUCCGUCUCGUGGCGAAACGCGUCACGGGGAAGAUGAGGA